CAAAACUCUUUGGUCGGUGUGGUAAAAUAUGUGGCGACACCAUGCAAAAAUCAUUCCUGGAAUGGUCGUACGCAAAAUUUGAAGUUGAGAGGCUGUCUGAAGUCGAUGAGUUUCGGUGCCCAGCCUGCACACCCUCAAUGUUAGCUGUCUCAGUGGAUGGGAACCGCAAGCUUUAUCGCUUUAAGAGCCAUUCAGGACCAAAUGGCUUUUUCGAAGGUGUCUUUUUGGCCAACGGCACAGAGGUGACCUCUUUUGUCAACCACAUCAGGGCAUCAACAGGACAUAAUCCUGGGAAAGGCAGGUGUGGUGGAAGCGAAUGGGUGGCUGCACGAGAGUCCUGAGGAGCUCAAGAAAUUGGCUGGAGAGUUGUCUAUUCAGGAAGACACUGUUCAGCAAUGGGUGUCUGAUGUUCAACAGUGGACUGCAGAAGGAGCAUGCAGUCAAAAUGAACUUGAAAAAACCAUUGAAGGACUGUAUCUCAGCAUUAAGCAGCGGAAAUAUCAGCUGUAUCGUCAGGCUGAUGGCAACAAGAGAAGACAUCUGCUUAGAAAAAAGAUUUCAGUGGAAAAGAGAUCCUUAGAAGAUGCCAUCACAAAAUACAAUGCUGUUGUGCCGGAAACUGGCAAACUCCCUUCUCCCAACGAGCUCCUGGCUGAGGAAAACUAUUCCUGGCCUUGGGAAUGUCAUGGUGAUAUGUUAAAGAAAAAAAAAGUCUUCGACAAGGUAAUGCUGCUGAACCGACUGAAGGAAGAGGAGGUCAUUGUUGUCCGUGAAGUCAAGCAGCACUGGGAGUAC
Long non-coding RNA from Synchiropus splendidus (mandarinfish), 795 nucleotides. RefSeq lists it as uncharacterized. Lineage: Eukaryota; Metazoa; Chordata; Actinopteri; Syngnathiformes; Callionymidae. The transcript is spliced from 7 exons. The record is from RefSeq and is a predicted model, not a curated record.